Non-coding RNA from Malus domestica (apple), 423 nucleotides. NCBI's taxonomy places the organism in Eukaryota, Viridiplantae, Streptophyta, Magnoliopsida, Rosales, Rosaceae. The record is from RefSeq and is a predicted model, not a curated record.
UAAGUACAACGAAAGGACAGAAAAGCCCCUAUUUAACUAUUAUUUUUCAGUGUUAUUUUUUUGCUGCAUAGUGAAAUGGCCAAAAUGGCCCUGCCCCUUCAAUUUGUCGACCCACCGUUUCUCUAGAUACUUCCCAGUUCCCACAUCGUUUUUCUCACCGUGCUGCUUGCCUCUACUCUCCCCGUCUUCCUCGUCACCUCAUCUACUAAAUUCUCUUCGAUUCUACCAACCGUCGCUACCGUUCAGACUUUCCCAAAGGUGCAGAAUGAACGACUAAUCAAUGUGGGAAAAUGUAUAUAACUGUAACUUAGAAAUCUCCCAUUUUGAUUGCACAUAUGCUCUUGAUGUAAAGUAAAUAAAAUGUAAUGUAACUUAAAGAUUGAUUUUACCAGGUUGGUUUAGCUGUUCUGUUAAUUUUUGAAA